Protopterus annectens (West African lungfish) is the source of this 689-nucleotide long non-coding RNA. RefSeq lists it as uncharacterized. The record is from RefSeq and is a predicted model, not a curated record. NCBI's taxonomy places the organism in Eukaryota, Metazoa, Chordata, Ceratodontiformes, Protopteridae. The transcript has 2 exons.
UGGACCAAGGACCAGAUGCUUCUUACCAGAAGAUGUUUGACACCGUUAUUAACUCCAAUGACAUUGAUGAUCACCACAAAGCUGGAGGAGCUGGUCCCACAGCUUUUCCUUCUUUAAAUAAGAUGCUUCAGGACCAACUUAUUGGGAAUUUGCGCCUUAAGAUGCUCUUAGUCCUUGGCGUCAUGCUUCUUACUAUCCUAAUUCUGCUGACUGUAGGAUUUCUCUAUGUUUGGGCUACAGAUACAGAUUAGAGAUUACAGUAUGACAAUGGACAGGUCCGGUACUGAUUUACCAAAGCACUUCAUUUUUGACGAUGCUCUGUAGCAAAUAAACGUCCUCUGGAGGCUGUGGAAUUCCAUCUAUGAAUAUUUUUUUCCAUAUUCUUUGCGCCUGUGAACAGUUAAAUGAUGUUAGAAGCACUGAAUGUUCAGCUGUUCUGGCUGGAGCCAACUUCAAGAGAAUAUAAUGGAACAUUGCACUUAACAAGUCAAGCCACAACAUAACAAUGAAAAGCAAAUGAAAAAAUGUUUAAAUGGGAAUCCAUUGUCUCAUCCUGCUUAAGAUUAUGUAAGGUGAUCACUGAGAAAACACAGAAAUUCACUGCUGAGACAUUGUGCUAGUGUUAAAAACAUGUCAAAUGCUAAUGCACAGUGUAUUUACUCUGCGAUCAUUAAACACAUUUAAAUGUU